AGAGCCUGGCAGCCGCUCUGCGGGGCAACCGGAGCCUCCGCAGCCAUGCGCACGAUCUGCCCCACCGCUGGCUCCGCUGGCUCCAGACAGACUUCGGGACCCUGCUGAAGCCAAGAGCUGAUGUGGCGAGGUAAGGGGCACAAUGCUAAUCACACCCCAACAGUCCCAAAGGUCCACUCGAGACCAGAGCAGAGAUGACCCACUUUCUCACCCAGGGGAAAGAGCCCGCUGGGGCAAUGAGCUGGACACGUUGGCGCCUGGUUUCGCAGCUCAGCUUUAGAGUUGGGGAGCCCCGCGUGAGCAUCCUUAGACUGUACCGACAGUACACAGUGGCCAAGGACAGGAUCCCUGGACCCCAUUCUCACAGCCAGUGGCUGCUCGUCUCCAGCCUCGCGCUGGCCUGGCAGACAGGAACUGGGACAAAUGGAGCAAGCAGAGGGGGGACGCUGGUGAUCGCAGAGGCCGGGGGCGUCCCACGCUGCCAGGGGCGGAGAGGCACACUCCCAAGUGACAUGCGCAGCUGCCUCUCCCGAUGGGCAAGGGCGUCUCACUGGGGAGACGGAAGCCGGGCUGUCCGAGAGCUCUAACCACGAGCCUCCCACUACCGCAAGCGAUAGUCCAUGACCUCUGGGCACCGCCCGAGCCAUGACUCGGUGCUACCAGGUGUGCUGGGGGAGGGGAAGGGACACGGCCAAGCCCAGUGCUUUCCCUUCUGCCCCUGCCACGCUCGGCCUCUGGCCACCGUUAUUCAGCGCGGCGCGAAGCCUGUGGGCCGCUGGAGGCAGCACUUACGGCGACAAUGCGUCCUAGAGCCCAGCGCCCAGCACUCACGCUCCCGCGGCGACCGACGGCACCCGGUGCAAGUUCUGAGCCCGAGGGGCGGAGCCAAAGGGGCAGGGAGCUCAGCGCGCACGGCCGCUCAGCCAAUAGUGACACCAGGAUACGACCCAGGGCGGGGAGGGGCCAGCGCUCCGCCCGCGCGCACCAAUCAGCGCGCAACUCCUCCUGCGCGCUCGGGAACCAAGGGAGGAACCGCUUUGUGUGGAGUCGGCAAAGCCAGCGCGCUAGGGGCGGGGCCCUGCAUCUUCUUGUGUAGGAUGCUUCUCCAGGCUGGAUUUUAUUUUGUUUUUAAUUCCACGGAUGAGCCGGGUUCAGCAGAUCGGGGAACUUUGGAAAACGCAAAGAAACGCUAAUUGAAGCCGCACUGUAACUUCAUCUCUUCAGACUAAAGUAAACAUGGAACUAAAGUCUACCUGCUUCACGGGUCGCUGUGAGAACUGAUGAAGGGACUGUGGAGUCCAGCGCUGCUGCGACGCAAAAACACAACUCUCACCUCAAAGGGGAUCAGAGAUGGCUUAUCCUAGAGCCAAAUAGGAGCGACCCUAGCCCGGGAACACAAAUACAGGUUAUUCCAUGUCCCAACAUGGUAACAGUUUGAUAAAAAUUGUGAAUUAU
This is a long non-coding RNA of Mus musculus (house mouse), 1455 nucleotides long. RefSeq annotates it as RIKEN cDNA D830039M14 gene. The record is from RefSeq and is marked validated. The transcript has a single exon. NCBI's taxonomy places the organism in Eukaryota, Metazoa, Chordata, Mammalia, Rodentia, Muridae.